Molecule: long non-coding RNA, 294 nt
Filed under: Mytilus galloprovincialis (Mediterranean mussel)
Lineage: Eukaryota; Metazoa; Mollusca; Bivalvia; Mytilida; Mytilidae
Source: RNAcentral
UAUUUAUUAGGUCUUUCCACUUUUCUGUGGAAAGACCUAUUGUUUUUCUUCUGAUUAUUUUUUUUUUUUUUUUCUUCCGCCUAAUUUUGUUCUUGCGAUAAACAUUUGUUUCGCAAUAUGUCGCUUAGAUAUUUGGUAUAUAAUAUCGAACAGUUUAUGCACUUUUGAAAUUUACCCUGCGUAAACGAAUACUUUUCUUUGUAGGAGUUAUCUCCCCAAACACUGUUUUCCUUGUUAGCGCAUCUCCUUCGCAACCGUAAAAGAUUAUGACAAAUUUAUUUUACAAAAUUGCUC